CCCAGUUUAAUUUCGAUUUGUCUGCGAAAAACAUGGCUGACAAGAUGGAUGAUAGUGAUGGUAUUAAAUAUUUUAAUUUAUCUUAUAUUCUUAUUACAGCUCUUUUCUAAUUAAAUCUUUUACCAUAAAUAUCGCUGUAAUUUUUUUCGAUUCGCAACAUAAUUUACUACAUAAAAUAUAGAAUAAGUAAUGAAAUAUAAAAGAUUUUCAAAUUUAUCUGAUAAUCAUUGUUCGACAAGCAAUCUGAAAAGAAUUGAAAAAGAGCUAAUAAAGAAAUUAGAUAUAUUAUCGUUUAUAAAUGUUUGAUGAUAAUUUGCAACAUUUUUCGUGUCUAGAGCUGAAAGCUUCUGUGGAUGGAACUAACGCAUCGGCUCCAAUUGAAGUUCGAAAGAAUAUACCGCUUAAACUGCAGUCGGGGACGAAGAAAACGGCAAAGACAUCUUCAAAUAAAAAAUUAAAAACUGGUAACAAAAAGUCUGAUAAAAACUGUAAUAACGAAAAAAUGGACACUUUUGAAAAGAGUGUGUAUCAAAACUGUUAUGACUUAGAGAAUUAGCCCUUGACUUUUCAAUUUUUCACGUACGUCUAGAUAAUAGUGACGAGGACUUUGCACAUGUAUCGACGAAUAAAAUGGCAGAUACUGGUGACCCUCUUCAUAAGAACGGAUUUUUACAAUGGGACCACAAAGUGUGUUUCUUUUUGACUAGUAGUCUGACAAUUGUUCCCAUGUAUAUGUCUUUCAUAGAAGCGGUAAACUUAAUUGUAAAUUAUUGUACAAAAAAUAAAAUUAGGGGUUCGUUUCAAAACAUUUGACAAUAUUCAUAUGUUUUUGUAUUUGUGGUUCUAUAUUUGUAUUCACGUUCAAAAACAUCUGAAAAUCUGCGCUAAGGAACAGCUGAGAAAAUGAAACGACAGUUGGUUAUUGAAUUGAGAAUCAGGCAAAGACACUACCGCUUCUAUGAAAAAUUUUUAGCCAAUUUCACUUUAAUUUUAGAAUACGUAAAUGUAAUUGAAGAUGUGAAAUUUGCUCAAGAAUACUUUAAAUUUUUUAAUGUUCGAUUGUUAAAUCAGUUUUUCUUCAAACAGGUAAAUUUGUUAGGUGAGAAGAUGCAAGAUAUUGAUAUCCAUUGCUGCGAAUUAUGUGAUCGACCGAUUUUAACUUAUGGAAGAAUGCUUCCCUGCAAACACAUAUUUUGUUGGAGAUGUGCAAAACGAAACGACACAAAAUGCGCGAGGUGCCAGCAUCUUGUUAAUAGGGUAGAACAGUGUGAACUUGGGAAAGUUUUUGUGUGUGUUGUGGACACAACAAAAGAUGGUAAGGAUGGGUGCAAAAGGACUUACUUAUCGUUACGUGACUUACAUGCUCAUAUGAAUUACCGUCAUCGAGGAGCUGUUGAAUCUAAUAUGACAAAUAAUUCUAAUCCAACACCGCAACCGGCUAUUAUGAAUAUGGUAACAACGACUCAUUCUGUUGAUACUGUGUGCCAGCGACCUUCCACGACAGCUACAAAGCCGCCAAGAAUGUCUAACCUGAUAACAGUUCCUUUACAAGAUGCUAGACAAGCUCCUAUGCCACAGAAUUAUAAUAACUAUGUACCAUACAAUACACCAUCAAAUGCAACACCAUUUACGAGGCCAACCUUCAACCCCAACGUUCCUCCUCCCAACUAUUCAGUUACUCAACAACUACCUAAUUUCGCACCACACAUUCAGACGGCAGCAGCUGUGUUUGCAGCAGUGGGGUCUAGAAAUUGGGGAGCGCCAGGAACACAACGACCACCAAGGACGAGUUUCUAUUAAGGCGUUAAUUUUUGUUUUUAACUAAUUUUCUGUAUAUCAGUGUUACAUAUUUUACUGUUUUUAUUCAAGCUUGUUGUAGGUUGCCACGAUGUCAUAAACUGUAAUUUUACAACGUUACGAGAUGCGCUACUUUCAUGCGUCAUACUGUUCUCUUGAAGAAUAAAUACGUUACUUAUGACAACUAUUUUUCGUUAUUAACAAUGACUUGGUUUAUGCCAUCAUGUGCGUUUUCGUAUAUUGUUAGAAUGCAAAUCAGUUGUGAAUAUGAUAAAAAAAAUUUCAAUAAAACUUUAAUGAAAAGCGAGUUUGUAAAUAUCGUAGUAAUGUGUGACGAUGAAUGGUUGUCUUUAUUAAAGAGAGAAUACUCUACGUUGACA
RNAcentral lists this unclassified non-coding RNA (2177 nucleotides) under Dimorphilus gyrociliatus. Its description in RNAcentral is "rING-type E3 ubiquitin transferase". The record is from RNAcentral. Lineage: Eukaryota; Metazoa; Annelida; Polychaeta; Dinophilidae.